Long non-coding RNA from Armigeres subalbatus, 1307 nucleotides. RefSeq lists it as uncharacterized. The transcript has 4 exons. NCBI's taxonomy places the organism in Eukaryota, Metazoa, Arthropoda, Insecta, Diptera, Culicidae. The record is from RefSeq and is a predicted model, not a curated record.
GGUAAUGUAUACAUUACCUAUAUUAUAGGUGAAAUUUACUGAUAAUAUUGGUAAUAUUUACUUAUAUUAUUAGUAAACAUAUGUAAACAUUAUUAGUAAAAAUGGAACUUAAUCGAACCCAUCAGAAUCAAUAAGUUCGUUAUAGCAAAACAUAACAGGACUCGUUUUUUGAGUAAGAUCCACCCUUUGCCUCCUGUUGUUAAACUUCAUGUAUUGCGGUGCUGCAUAUUAUCCCACCCUUUGCUGCCAGUUCCGGUGCUACGAUUCCUGCUCGUAGCGAAGGCUAUCGCUGUUUUUCGAUCCUGCUGCUGUGACAUCCUGACCAAAUAUUUUUAUUCAACUGAACAUUAAGCAUGCUGCGGAAAACCGUUCGUUUCGCCAUAUUGAUCAGCAGCUGUAAGAUACCACGAAGGAAACCAACAAUAAUACUUGAUUUGACGGGUCUGGAGCCGAGUCUGGAGCAUCCCCAGAAGCAGGUUAGAGAAGGUUAGCAGGCCAUUGGAGGAACAAUCCACAGCGGAGCUAUCGAUAAAUCGCUUGGGGAACGUGGACAUUUGCGUGAUUCGGACUAAAAAUUGAAAGCAAAGGCUGCUAUUUCCGAGGCUAUUCGUUUUCGUACCGAGGGCUGAUUUUCUUUGCUACUAUGCGAUGCCAAAGAAGCUUCCACACCGAUGAUCUUGAUUCAACGAUCUUUGCACCUGUGGUGACGGAACGGGGCUUUCACAGUACUUCCAGCAUCCUUACUGCUCUCACAAGUUUCGGGAUUAUAUACCGUCAAAUCUCUACACGGCUACUGCGGAGCAGCCUAGCAGGUGACCCGGUACCUGCUGCGGUUAACGCUUACUGACCCGAAGCUGCUACUGAUCAUCCAGCCAGUUCCGGUUUCGUCGAUCGCGUAAUUUUAAUAUUUCGGUAAUCAGUUUCGCUAAUUGCCCAACAUCCAACAACGAAUAGGUUGAUAAAGACUGUAUAUUGUAAAUAUAUUUAUAUAGUAGAAUUAAAUUAAGAAGGCAUGCCAAAAAGCUGCCAGCUGUUGAUGAAUAUAAAAAAAAUGAUAAUAAUGUGCACUAUAGGCUUAUUUGUUUCGUUUUUUUUUGCGAAAUAUUGAUUUGUUUAUAUAUUUGCCCGGUAUGGUACAUAAUCAACAGAGCGAGAUGCAUCACUCCAGCAUGCUGAUGAUCUCAGUAACGGAGAUUUACCGGGUGCAACUGCGACUGUCUCCAACAGAACAAGCAAGCUCUCGUCAAAGCUGUCCAUAUGCAUGUGUACCAGAGCCAAGAAUAGCAGUAUCCAUUCUUUUAGGUAAU